CAAUAAUAAUUAAAUUAUCAAUUUUGAGUGUAUUUUGCACGAUUAGUUAAUCAAGUGAUUUUAUAACUUCAAAAGUACUCAAAACGUGACACGAGCUUCCAAUAACAACGGAUUUUGUGUUUGAGCAAUGCCAAGAAAACGCAAAGGGGCUGAUUAGAGCCGCAGUACAAGUAAAGCUCGAAACUUGCGAAAUAGCAGAUCCGAAAGAACAGAAGAACAAAUCCAGCAACAAAAUACUGAUGCACGUGUCAGAAUAGCGCAAUUGCAUCAAGAAGAGCCAGAAGAUACACGAGCUGAACGCAAUGAAGUCAGAAGAUUAGAA
This is a long non-coding RNA of Cotesia glomerata, 322 nucleotides long. RefSeq lists it as uncharacterized. The record is from RefSeq and is a predicted model, not a curated record. The transcript is spliced from 2 exons. NCBI's taxonomy places the organism in Eukaryota, Metazoa, Arthropoda, Insecta, Hymenoptera, Braconidae.